CAGCCGCCACGGUAAUACGUAGGGUGCAAGCGUUAAUCGGAAUUACUGGGCGUAAAGCGUGCGCAGGCGGUUUUGUAAGACAGAGGUGAAAUCCCCGGGCUCAACCUGGGAACUGCCUUUGUGACUGCAAGGCUGGAGUGCGGCAGAGGGGGAUGGAAUUCCGCGUGUAGCAGUGAAAUGCGUAGAUAUGCGGAGGAACACCGAUGGCGAAGGCAAUCCCCUGGGCCUGCACUGACGCUCAUGCACGAAAGCGUGGGGAGCAAACAGGAUUAGAUACCCCUGUAGUCCCUGUCUCUUAUAC
Molecule: ribosomal RNA, 301 nt
Filed under: uncultured bacterium
Lineage: Bacteria
Description: partial 16S ribosomal RNA
Rfam family: Bacterial small subunit ribosomal RNA
Source: RNAcentral